GGAUCACUCCUCCGCCUCAGUUGUCACCAGAACUGGGAGAUAUUCCACGGAGUAACUUCCAGUUUGAUUUUGAGUUUGAGCGAAAAAUUUUGGCUGAAGCUGAGAAGGAAACCCAGAACUGGAGCAGGCUUGGGUUGGAAAAUCUUCCAUCUAAACCAACAGAAUCAGCUUCUUCAUUGGGUUCAACUGUAGAUCCUGUAGUAAGCAAAUAUAUUGCAUCAGGACUCAAUCGGGAAGCUGUUCGUCUUGCUGUUGCUAACUAUGGUGACAAUCCGACUAAGGUUCAGGAAUUUGUCAAUGGCUACACCCUUUUAAGAGAAAUGGGAUUUGCAUCAAACAAUGUUGCUGAAGCUUUACACAUGUACGACAAUGACGCAGACAAGGCAUUGACACAUUUUCUUAACAGCACAUCGUAAACAUACUGGAAACGUGUGGCUGAAUCCUGAAUGAGCGUGGUGUGGGUGGUGGCAUACCCACUAUACAAGGGCAU
This 490-nucleotide unclassified non-coding RNA is filed under the name Hevea brasiliensis (rubber tree). Lineage: Eukaryota; Viridiplantae; Streptophyta; Magnoliopsida; Malpighiales; Euphorbiaceae. The record is from RNAcentral.